This 307-nucleotide unclassified non-coding RNA is filed under the name plant metagenome. Its description in RNAcentral is "partial contains 5.8S ribosomal RNA, internal transcribed spacer 2, and large subunit ribosomal RNA". The stretch from base 1 to 105 matches the Rfam family "5.8S ribosomal RNA", at positions 50 to 154 of the family's 154-position model. The record is from RNAcentral.
GAAAUGCGAUAAGUAGUGUGAAUUGCAGAAUUCAGUGAAUCAUCGAAUCUUUGAACGCAAAUUGCGCCCUUUGGUAUUCCAAAGGGCAUGCCUGUUCGAGCGUCAUUUGUACCCUCAAGCUUUGCUUGGUGUUGGGCGUCUUGUCUCUAGCUUUGCUGGAGACUCGCCUUAAAGUAAUUGGCAGCCGGCCUACUGGUUUCGGAGCGCAGCACAAGUCGCACUCUCUAUCAGCAAAGGUCUAGCAUCCAUUAAGCCUUUUUUCAACUUUUGACCUCGGAUCAGGUAGGGAUACCCGCUGAACUUAAGC